UACGUAGGGUGCGAGCGUUGUCCGGAAUUAUUGGGCGUAAAGGGCUCGUAGGCGGUCUGUCGCGUCGGGAGUGAAAACUCAGGGCUUAACCCUGAGCCUGCUUCCGAUACGGGCAGACUAGAGGUAGGUAGGGGAGAAUGGAAUUCCCGGUGUAGCGGUGAAAUGCGCAGAUAUCGGGAGGAACACCAGUGGCGAAGGCGGUUCUCUGGGCCUUACCUGACGCUGAGGAGCGAAAGCGUGGGGAGCGAACAGG
RNAcentral lists this ribosomal RNA (253 nucleotides) under uncultured bacterium. RNAcentral describes it as "partial 16S ribosomal RNA". It matches the Rfam family "Bacterial small subunit ribosomal RNA", at positions 524 to 776 of the family's 1533-position model. The record is from RNAcentral.